This 216-nucleotide ribosomal RNA is filed under the name Glomeromycotina sp. RNAcentral describes it as "partial small subunit ribosomal RNA". The stretch from base 40 to 216 matches the Rfam family "Eukaryotic small subunit ribosomal RNA", at positions 686 to 864 of the family's 1831-position model. Lineage: Eukaryota; Fungi; Glomeromycota. The record is from RNAcentral.
GGGUCAGUAGGUUGGUCGUGCCACAGGUACGUACUGGACUCACUGAUUCCUCCUUCCUGAAGAACCGUAAUGCCAUUAAUUUGGUGUUGCGGGGAAACAGGACUGUUACUUUGAAAAAAUUAGAGUGUUUAAAGCAAGCUAACGCUUGAAUACAUUAGCAUGGAAUAAUGAAAUAGGACGAUCGAUCCUAUUUUGUUGGUUUCUAGGAUUGACGUA